GAUCCGGCUAAAGAAAUAUCGCGGUAUGGGUUCUCUCGAUGCCAUGGACAAGCACCUCAGCAGCCAGAACAGAUAUUUCAGGUGGGACAGGCAAGCCAGUUACCCCACCCUAAUCCUGCACUGACAGUCUCAUCUCUGCUGUGACCUUGCCCGUGUCUCUGCCUCUCCCUGCAGUGAAGCUGACAAAAUCAAAGUGGCCCAGGGAGUGUCUGGUGCUGUGCAGGACAAAGGGUCAAUCCACAAAUUUGUCCCUUACCUGAUUGCUGGCAUCCAACACUCAUGCCAGGACAUUGGUGCCAAGAGCUUGACCCAAGUCCGAGCCAUGAUGUACUCUGGGGAGCUUAAGUUUGAGAAGAGAACGUCCUCAGCCCAGGUGGAAGGUGGCGUCCAUAGCCUCCAUUCGUAUGAGAAGCGGCUUUUCUGAAAAGGGAUCCAGCACACCUCCUCGGUUUUUUUUUCAAUAA
RNAcentral lists this long non-coding RNA (464 nucleotides) under Homo sapiens (human). RNAcentral describes it as "HSALNT0054289". Lineage: Eukaryota; Metazoa; Chordata; Mammalia; Primates; Hominidae. The record is from RNAcentral.